AGUCGCCACGGGAAUACAGAGGGUGCGAGCGUUAAUCGGAUUUACUGGGCGUAAAGCGUGCGUAGGCGGCUUCUUAAGUCGGAUGUGAAAUCCCUGAGCUUAACUUAGGAAUUGCAUUCGAUACUGGGAAGCUAGAGUAUGGGAGAGGAUGGUAGAAUUCCAGGUGUAGCGGUGAAAUGCGUAGAGAUCUGGAGGAAUACCGAUGGCGAAGGCAGCCAUCUGGCCUAAUACUGACGCUGAGGUACGAAAGCAUGGGGAGCAAACAGGAUUAGAUACCCCAGUAGUCCCUGUCUCUUAUACA
RNAcentral lists this ribosomal RNA (301 nucleotides) under uncultured bacterium. RNAcentral's name for it is "partial 16S ribosomal RNA". It matches the Rfam family "Bacterial small subunit ribosomal RNA", at positions 510 to 808 of the family's 1533-position model. The record is from RNAcentral.